CAUCGAUGAUCUCUCUGUACUUUGCUCUGUCAAUCUUUCCCUCGAUGCUGACUCGUCUCCCAGUCCCUGGCACUGAAAAACAUCCCCACAGCAUGAUGCUGCCACCACCUUUCUUCACGCUCAGGCAGUGUGAGGUUUUCCCUACCCAGGCAGAGAGAGCCAGGAGUGGGGGAGGGGGAGACGAGGGGAGACGAGCGCCGGAGCUUGAAUUAUGGAUUUUGAAAGAUUUACCAUUGCUGCUGGACUGCGGAUGUUCGAAUGAAGAGAGAGGGUGACAAAGAGAGC
This 285-nucleotide long non-coding RNA is filed under the name Salmo salar (Atlantic salmon). Its description in RNAcentral is "lncRNA (ENSSSAG00000102609.1)". Lineage: Eukaryota; Metazoa; Chordata; Actinopteri; Salmoniformes; Salmonidae. The record is from RNAcentral.